ACUCCUGCGGGAGGCAGCAGUGGGGAAUAUUGCACAAUGGGCGCAAGCCUGAUGCAGCCAUGCCGCGUGUAUGAAGAAGGCCUUCGGGUUGUAAAGUACUUUCAGCGGGGAGGAAGGCAAUACGGUUAAUAACCGUGUUGAUUGACGUUACCCGCAGAAGAAGCACCGGCUAACUCCGUGCCAGCAGCCGCGGUAAUACGGAGGGUGCAAGCGUUAAUCGGAAUUACUGGGCGUAAAGCGCACGCAGGCGGUCUGUCAAGUCGGAUGUGAAAUCCCCGGGCUCAACCUGGGAACUGCAUUCGAAACUGGCAGGCUUGAGUCUUGUAGAGGGGGGUAGAAUUCCAGGUGUAGCGGUGAAAUGCGUAGAGAUCUGGAGGAAUACCGGUGGCGAAGGCGGCCCCCUGGACAAAGACUGACGCUCAGGUGCGAAAGCGUGGGGAGCAAACAGGAUUAGAUACCCGGGUAGUCCCAUG
Molecule: ribosomal RNA, 473 nt
Filed under: uncultured organism
Description: partial 16S ribosomal RNA
Rfam family: Bacterial small subunit ribosomal RNA
Source: RNAcentral